GAUGAACGCUAGCUACAGGCUUAACACAUGCAAGUCGAGGGGCAGCAUGACGAUAGCUUGCUAUUGUUGAUGGCGACCGGCGCACGGGUGAGUAACGCGUAUCCAACCUGCCCUUGUCCACCGGAUAACCCGUCGAAAGGCGGACUAACACGGUAUGCAGUCCACAGCAGACAUCUAACGUGGACGAAAUGUGAAGGAGAAGGAUGGGGAUGCGUCUGAUUAGCUUGUUGGCGGGGUAACGGCCCACCAAGGCGACGAUCAGUAGGGGUUCUGAGAGGAAGGUCCCCCACAUUGGAACUGAGACACGGUCAAAACUCCUACGGGAGGCAGCAGUGAGGAAGAUUGGUCAAUGGGCGAGAGCCUGAAACAGCCAAGUAGCGUGCAGGAAGACAGCCCUAUGGGCUGUAAACUGCUUUUAUACGGGGAUAAAGUGAGUCACGUGUGGCUUAUUGCAGGUACCGUAUGAAUAAGGACCGGCUAAUUCCGUGCCAGCCGCCGCCGUAA
Molecule: ribosomal RNA, 504 nt
Filed under: uncultured bacterium
Lineage: Bacteria
Description: partial 16S ribosomal RNA
Rfam family: Bacterial small subunit ribosomal RNA
Source: RNAcentral